GGAGAGGUGGCUGAGCGGUUGAAAGCGGCGGUCUUGAAAACCGUUAGUCCGCGAGGGCUCGUAGGUUCGAAUCCUACCCUCUCCG
Molecule: transfer RNA, 85 nt
Filed under: Pseudomonadota bacterium
Lineage: Bacteria; Pseudomonadati; Pseudomonadota
Also listed under: 1 other name
Description: tRNA-Ser
Rfam family: tRNA
About the family: Transfer RNA (tRNA) molecules are approximately 80 nucleotides in length. Their secondary structure includes four short double-helical elements and three loops (D, anti-codon, and T loops).
Source: RNAcentral